GACGAACGCUGGCGGCGUGCUUAACACAUGCAAGUCGAACGGAAAGGCCCUGCUUUUGUGGGGUGCUCGAGUGGCGAACGGGUGAGUAACACGUGAGUAACCUGCCCUUGACUUUGGGAUAACUUCAGGAAACUGGGGCUAAUACCGGAUAGGAGCUCCUGCUGCAUGGUGGGGGUUGGAAAGUUUCGGCGGUUGGGGAUGGACUCGCGGCUUAUCAGCUUGUUGGUGGGGUAGUGGCUUACCAAGGCUUUGACGGGUAGCCGGCCUGAGAGGGUGACCGGCCACAUUGGGACUGAGAUACGGCCCAGACUCCUACGGGAGGCAGCAGUGGGGAAUAUUGCACAAUGGGCGGAAGCCUGAUGCAGCAACGCCGCGUGCGGGAUGGCGGCCUUCGGGUUGUAAACCGCUUUCGCCUGUGACGAAGCGUGAGUGACGGUAAUGGGUAAAGAAACACCGGCUAACUACGUG
RNAcentral lists this ribosomal RNA (468 nucleotides) under uncultured bacterium. RNAcentral describes it as "partial 16S ribosomal RNA". It matches the Rfam family "Bacterial small subunit ribosomal RNA", at positions 28 to 507 of the family's 1533-position model. The record is from RNAcentral.